UCCCUGGUGGUCCAGUGAUUGGGACUCUGCCCUUCCAUUGCAGGGUCACAGGUUCAAUCCCUGACUGGGGAA
This 72-nucleotide transfer RNA is filed under the name Ovis aries (sheep). It matches the Rfam family "tRNA". From Rfam's summary of the family: Transfer RNA (tRNA) molecules are approximately 80 nucleotides in length. Their secondary structure includes four short double-helical elements and three loops (D, anti-codon, and T loops). Lineage: Eukaryota; Metazoa; Chordata; Mammalia; Artiodactyla; Bovidae. The record is from Rfam by way of RNAcentral.